This 508-nucleotide ribosomal RNA is filed under the name uncultured bacterium. RNAcentral's name for it is "partial 16S ribosomal RNA". It matches the Rfam family "Bacterial small subunit ribosomal RNA", at positions 28 to 523 of the family's 1533-position model. The record is from RNAcentral.
GAUGAACGCUAGCUACAGGCUUAACACAUGCAAGUCGAGGGGAAACGAUAGAGAAAGCUUGCUUUUUCUAGGCGUCGACCGGCGCACGGGUGAGUAACGCGUAUCCAACCUGCCCACCACUUGGGGAUAACCUUGCGAAAGUAAGACUAAUACCCAAUGAUAUCUCUAGAAGACAUCUGAAGGAGAUUAAAGAUUCAUCGGUGAUGGAUGGGGAUGCGUCUGAUCAGCUUGGUGGCGGGGUAACGGCCCACCAAGGCGACGAUCAGUAGGGGUUCUGAACGGAAGGUCCCCCACAUGCGAACUGAGACACGGACCAAACUCCUACGGGAGGCAGCAGUGAGGAAUAUUGGUCAAUGGGCGAGAGCCUGAACCAGCCAAGUAGCGUGCAGGAUGACGGCCCUAUGGGUUGUAAACUGCUUUUAUAAGGGAAUAAAGUGAGUCUCGUGAGACUUUUUGCAUGUACCUUAUGAAUAAGGACCGGCUAAUUCCGUGCCAGCAGCCGCCGUAA